Molecule: non-coding RNA, 46 nt
Filed under: Schistosoma mansoni
Lineage: Eukaryota; Metazoa; Platyhelminthes; Trematoda; Strigeidida; Schistosomatidae
Source: RNAcentral
AUUUAUCAAAGGGAGUCCCAAAUAGGACGAAACGCGCGUCCUGGAU